CCAACUUAUCAUAUGGCAAAUGUAUGUUUCAUCGAACCAUUUCGACUGUGUGUUUUAAGUUUUAUCUUGUUUUACGUCUACGGAAUUAAACGAAUCGAAGAUGACUUUUUGUUUCAAACCGGAAGAAAUGUCAUCAAAUUUUUAAAAGUCAUCUGGCCGCUUUAUCCAUUGUUUUACGCGACCUUGUUUUCCUCCAUGGUUUAUACAUCGUUGAGCACACAAGAAGGUACUGGCUUUGAAUUAGAUAUGCCUUAUAAUCAUCGUCACAUGAUUAUUGCCUGCGGAUUGAGCAUUUGCGCUAUUUACAUAUACGGCGCUGGAUGUUUAAAUUACAUAUACAUUCUCGGAGAAAUUGGAUCAAAUACGUCAAUGCCAAAAUUAAUAAAACCUGACUUUCAUUGGGGCCCUCAAAAUCCCAGCAGACGUCGAGAAAGGAAACAAUUUGCUCCGCGGAUUAAAAUUCGAGCCUCACGAAACCGCAUACGUCUGCAACGCUUUCGCAAGGAUUCGAUACGUCAAAUGCACGAACAAGACAUUGCUGAAGGCGUAAAACGUGGCCGAUUGUUCAUCGAUUCGGACUUUUAUACCAACUGCGCGCAAAGGAUCAAUACACAACCAGCGAAACCCACACGCAAAAGAGAUGCUAUUAUGAAAACAUCAUUUAUUAUAUAAACUUACGACUG
This is a long non-coding RNA of Dalotia coriaria, 683 nucleotides long. RefSeq lists it as uncharacterized. NCBI's taxonomy places the organism in Eukaryota, Metazoa, Arthropoda, Insecta, Coleoptera, Staphylinidae. The record is from RefSeq and is a predicted model, not a curated record. The transcript is spliced from 3 exons.